Molecule: ribosomal RNA, 537 nt
Filed under: Raorchestes kadalarensis
Lineage: Eukaryota; Metazoa; Chordata; Amphibia; Anura; Rhacophoridae
Description: partial 16S ribosomal RNA
Rfam family: Bacterial large subunit ribosomal RNA
Source: RNAcentral
CGCCUCUUGACAAACGAUAAGAGGUCCUGCCUGCCCAGUGAUAAAUUCAACGGCCGCGGUACCCUAACCGUGCAAAGGUAGCAUAAUCACUUGUCCUUUAAAUGGGGACUAGUAUCAACGGCACCACGAGGGUUACACUGUCUCCCCCCUCUAAUCAGUGAAACUGAUCUCCCCAUGAAAAAGCGGGGAUAAUACUAUAAGACGAGAAGACCCCACGGAGCUUUAAACCCAAUAGCAAUUAACAAAUCUACACUACAAAUUAUGCUAACGGCUUUAGGUUGGGGCGACCACGGAGUAAAAAUUAACCUCCAUAACGAAAAGAUUAAAUCUUUACCCAAGAGCCACCGCUCUAAGAAUUAGAAAACUAACGAACUAUGACCCGGUAUCGAUCAAUGAACCAAGUUACCCUGGGGAUAACAGCGCAAUCUACUUCAAGAGUCCAUAUCGACAAGUAGGCUUACGACCUCGAUGUUGGAUCAGGGUAUCCCAGUGGUGCAGCCGCUACUAAAGGUUCGUUUGUUCAACGAUUAAAACCCU